This 621-nucleotide long non-coding RNA is filed under the name Physcomitrium patens. Its description in RNAcentral is "long non-coding RNA (PPAT_LNC004242)". The record is from RNAcentral. Lineage: Eukaryota; Viridiplantae; Streptophyta; Bryopsida; Funariales; Funariaceae.
UUCAAUUUUUGAUGUGGAGAGGUGGAUGUACUCUUCAGAAGAAAUGAAUGACGAAGUGACCACAAUUACACCGAGCUGGAUGGGAAUGCGUUUUUGUGCACGAAGACAGUCACUUUCUUGUUAAAUUAAUAACCUGCACCAUUGUUCGUGUUAACUAAAGCUGUGAGCGGAGCGAGUGGCAAUCAGAUGUGGACUAAUGGCAAGAAAGACCUACAGACACAUCACUUGCUAUAUCUUGGUCGAGCAUCAUGGGCGUGUGCCCAUUUCUUGAAUAUAUACAUUUUUGAAACAUACGAUUGUCGAAUGACUGCUUGCAUGUGGCUACUCAUCUGAAGUCUCCCCUCGUCAAUCUUCUCAUGGAAAUAGCGCCAAACAGCAUUGGAUUUCAUGAAGAAUAGCUAUUGGGUACUUGUAUCGGUGGAUAGGAUGGACGCUGCCCUCGAGAUUCCAUGCAGGAUAAUAUAGUGAGUUUGCAACGGGACCAUAAUGAAGAGCAAGAAAGAACUCACCAACGGAAAGAGAGGCUGCAAUGGGUGGAACAGCGUGAGACGAUUUGUGCACAUUCGCUGGUUAUGCGCGGCGUCGUUAGUAUUUGCGUUGUUCCUCGUUGGCGUCCACCAU